CUGCGGAGGAGUGAGAUGGCCAGUGUGGCGUUGAGGCGGAGAGAAGAUUUCGGGAAACAGUAUUGGAAUGGUGGACCAGUGGAAGUUGAUGUGGAUGAGGGGUUGAAUGAAGAUGAGAAACCACUCUCAAUAGUAGCCGCCAACAAGUGAUAUGUCUGGUGACUUGUGAACACUCGGUUCGUUGAACAAUACGUUCAGCAGUAAAGCAAAAGAGGCACACCGAUUUGGCUAUCCCAUCUGUGUCUUCCUUCUCCCACCCUUUGCUGUAGCACGCUACCCUCUGACACUCCCUCUCCGCGCGGCCCGACAAGUCUGGCUGGCCGGCGACCCCUGCCCGCCGUGCUGUGGCUGGGCACCACGGCGGGUAAGGACUAAGCCGCCGAGUCAGCACCAGCUAACACACGUUAGCGAGUCGACAUUAGUCGACACAGGCCGGGCUCCCCUCAUUGGCAUAGCCCGGGCGAGGCUCAGCUUCGCAUAUCAGACUUAUCCUUAUCCCUGUCCGCCACGUCGCUGCCAUCCUAUGCGAGGGGAAUCGUGCAACUGAUCUGGAAUAUCAAUCUUGCCGCGAAUUAGCGAAAGAGUUCGGACUGAAAUUAUUCUACUGAGCACGACAGCAUUAAAGUUAGCUAUACGAAGUCCUUUCAUAUAACUUAUCAUAUGAUUUUAAUAUAAAUCAGUAAUUAAUAAUAUUCUAAAGAAGUCACUUA
Molecule: long non-coding RNA, 710 nt
Organism: Penaeus chinensis
Lineage: Eukaryota; Metazoa; Arthropoda; Malacostraca; Decapoda; Penaeidae
Exons: 3
Source: RefSeq, a predicted model, not a curated record